RNAcentral lists this long non-coding RNA (587 nucleotides) under Rattus norvegicus (Norway rat). Its description in RNAcentral is "long non-coding RNA NONRATT021552". Lineage: Eukaryota; Metazoa; Chordata; Mammalia; Rodentia; Muridae. The record is from RNAcentral.
CCGGGCUGGGUCCUCUGGCCAUCCGAGGAAGCACACAGCCCCACUCCUCUCGGACUGCCCGGGAGUGCGCAGAGCCCCUCUCCCCGCGGGCUGUCCGAGAGCGCGCAAAGCUCCUUCCCGGCGCGGCCCGGGCCCAGGCCGUCGGACGCUCCGGCGCUCGCGGGCCAGCUCCUCUCACCUCAUUCUUUUUCACCAUCCUUGCUAUGACCUGCCGACUCCGGCCGCCUCUCCUCUCUCUUGCCUUCCGAAAGGUUCGCCCUCAACCUCGGCAUUUGAGCCCCAUUUUCCCUGGAAACUAACAUCUCUCACUUUGCUUUUUGUAGGCACCUGGGAGGGUGAAGGCGAGAGGCAGAUGACGACGCUGAACACAGGCUCUGCAAGAAUCUCCAUAAUGAAUGGAUCCAGUGUGGCAAGUACAUCACCCAGUGUGAAAUGCAAAGAGGACCAAGGGUUAAAUGGACAUGAGGAGAAAGAAAACCCUUUUGCAGAAUACAUGUGGAUGGAAAAUGAAGAGGAUUUCAACAGACAGGUGGAGGAAGAGCUGCAGGAGCAAGACUUCUUGGACCGAUGCUUCCAGGAGAUGCUGG